CACGUAGGGUGCAAGCGUUGUCCGGAAUCAUUGGGCGUAAAGAGCUCGUAGGCGGCUCAGUAAGUCGGGUGUGAAAACCCCAGGCUCAACCUGGGGACGCCACCCGAUACUGCUAUAGCUAGAGUCCAGUAGGGGAGUGUGGAAUUCCCAGUGUAGCGGUGAAAUGCGCAGAUAUUGGGAGGAACACCAGCGGCGAAGGCGGCACUCUGGGCUGGUACUGACGCUGAGGAGCGAAAGCGUAGGUAGCGAACAGG
RNAcentral lists this ribosomal RNA (254 nucleotides) under uncultured bacterium. RNAcentral's name for it is "partial 16S ribosomal RNA". It matches the Rfam family "Bacterial small subunit ribosomal RNA", at positions 524 to 776 of the family's 1533-position model. The record is from RNAcentral.